Molecule: long non-coding RNA, 960 nt
Organism: Arabidopsis lyrata subsp. lyrata
Lineage: Eukaryota; Viridiplantae; Streptophyta; Magnoliopsida; Brassicales; Brassicaceae
Exons: 4
Source: RefSeq, a predicted model, not a curated record
AGUUUUAAUUAGGUGGGUUAAAUUUUUGUUUUUUGAAUGAUAGGCUGCUAGAUACAGUGAUACUGAUGAUCUCAGAUCAUUGGCCUCUUAUGGUGUCUCUCUUGACUCUCUUGAUUCACAAGGCCGAACAGGUUUCUUCUACAUUCUCUUUUUGUUCUAAAGUUCCAAUUUUUCCAGUUAAUAGAUAAGAUUCUUAAACUCUUGCUCAGACACCUGCAAUGUAUAGGAAAAUUUGGAAUAAAUGAUGCCUAAAAAGGGUUCAUUUGGCUCAUUUCAUCUCGUGAAAUAUUGGUUACUGUUUUCUGGUUUAGUAACAUAUGUUGGUGUUCUUACUCUUAUCCUUGUAUAUUCGGAUACUCAGAUUAAGGAGUUUGAAAUGUAUGGUUAACUCUGUGAACAUUGUUUCUUUUUAUCUUUUACUUGUCUUCACAAGCUGCAUAUGGUUGCGGCGUAUAACUGUAGUGGAGUAUCUUAUCAGUGAAGGAGUGGAUAUUAAUGCUCUUAACGAUGAGAACAAUGCUCCUCUACAUUGGGCAUGUUUGAAUGGCCAUGUCGAGGUGUGAGCGGACUCCAAUGGAUGAAGCUAUUGGUGCGGAGAAGAUGGAGAUUAUAGAUGCUAUUAACACAACUGUUGCACAAAUGGAACUUGAAAAUACCAGAGUGACACGACUUUUCCAGACAUCUCCCUCUCGGCAUCGUAAAUGUGAUUUGGAGAGAAUAAGUCUCGGAAAAGGUAUGUGGAAGUAAUUAGUUGGGAUCACAGCCUAAAGAAGAGAUUUUAGAAAUAAAGGAUCGACAUUAUUGAGAUAGAUUUUUGGAACGCAAUAUCUUUUAUUUAAUUUUCGAUUUUCAUAAUCCAAUUGCGGAAGAAGUUAAGGAAACAGAAAAUAUUUGGUAAUUUAAGAAUAAAUGUCGUUUUUUUUCUCCUUAUUAAAGUUAUCUAGAUAUGGUAUCUAGGAG